AUUUAAAUGUCAAUAAAUAUCUGAAAAUUUAUUGUUCACUCUUUGAAUGCUUUUUUUUUGGACUGCACUAUAAAGGUGGGCAUCUUUGGAUUAAAACUUAUGUUUAACAGCCUGCUGCCAUGUUUUAGGUUACUGUUUAAAAUUUUUAAAUAUUACAAAUAAAGUCUGCUUAGUUCUGGUGCCAGGAUUCUUUACAUGUCAACUUUCAACCUUUCUUAAUAUGAUAUGAAAAUUUGCUUUUGGAUGAAUAGGAGACUUGUUUUAAGUUUGAAUCAAUUAUAGAAUGAUUUUGCAAAUAAGAAUUAUGUGAUUGGAUCAUUGGAAUCAGUUUUACAUAACAGCAAAACACCUA
This 352-nucleotide unclassified non-coding RNA is filed under the name Hevea brasiliensis (rubber tree). Lineage: Eukaryota; Viridiplantae; Streptophyta; Magnoliopsida; Malpighiales; Euphorbiaceae. The record is from RNAcentral.